CUUGCUCCAGUAAAAUAAAUCACAUUUUGAAUUUAGAGCGUAAACACUAUAUACAAAAUAUACAGUGUAUCAAGUCGACUGCAGUUAUUUAAAUUCACAGGCGGCAACAUCCAACCACAACUUUGCAUCACUGCCGUCUUGCACAUAUCAGCUCAUGACCACAUCCUCAGGAGCGACCUUCCUGUCCCAUUUAAACUUCCUGUGACACGGAAAUUUGCAUUCCGGCAGAGGCAUAAAAAGCCUACGGUGCAACUGUUUUAUCCCCUGAUGGUGUGUAAAGAGCCACGGCCUUUUAAGCCAUCGAGGGAACGACUGAAAACUCAGUUUCAAAAAUCAUAG
RNAcentral lists this long non-coding RNA (339 nucleotides) under Scophthalmus maximus (turbot). Its description in RNAcentral is "lncRNA (ENSSMAG00000025563.1)". The record is from RNAcentral. Lineage: Eukaryota; Metazoa; Chordata; Actinopteri; Pleuronectiformes; Scophthalmidae.